Magnolia sinica is the source of this 1237-nucleotide long non-coding RNA. RefSeq lists it as uncharacterized. The record is from RefSeq and is a predicted model, not a curated record. The transcript has 2 exons. NCBI's taxonomy places the organism in Eukaryota, Viridiplantae, Streptophyta, Magnoliopsida, Magnoliales, Magnoliaceae.
UUUAAUAGCCCACCCCUCGGAUAUGUGGGACCCACAUACGGUUUCGUGCGGAUGGCUGAUGAAUUCCAAUAUUUUUUCAUACCUUGCAUUUUAUGGGUCACUGAUCAAAUGGUCAAGAUCAUCUCAUUAGUGUGAUUUCUCACUAUGGUUGACAAUCGACGGUAGGAUCCACCUGAUGAACGGUUUAGAUCAUGGUCAGAUGUGCCAUGUGUCCAGUUAUGUGGGGCAAUAACAAAAGCAGUGGCAACCAUGCAAUUUUGGUGACAAUCAAGGGCAUUGUGUUGGUUAGUUGAGUAUUUAAGGAAUUUCAAACAUGGAGUUGUCGGUUUGCCAACCAUGAAAGUGAAUGAAAGGUUUUAAAAGGAAAUUCCUUGCGUGAUAGACUCCAAUCAAAGCCAUCAAUAGCUCUCAUUUUCUUUUAUUUUUGUUUUUAUUUAUUUAUAUUUUUGUCUCAUCUUUUGAUUGAAGAGCAGCCAUGUACCUACUUAUAAAUCAAUGAAAGGGGGAGAUUUUUUUAUGGGUUUUUGGAAGGUUGAGAUUUAGUGACAGAUUCUUCGACAAAGGCAUAUGAUCAAAAGAUUUUAUUCGACAGGUAUGCUUUUGUCUUCUUUUUUCAUUUUUUUUUCUUUCAAUUGAAUUCAAGGGUCUUAUUUUUUCUUUUGGGUUAUCUGGGUGAGUCUGUUCAUGAAUGAUUAGCAACAUGAAUUUCAUGUCCUUCUUUCUUUUUUUUCGAUUUUGGAGAGAUGUUUGGUUUGAAUUGAUGAGUGUUUCAUUGAUUUCAAUUCAUCUGUUUUUGUCAGUGGAGCAGAAACAUGAAAGAGAGGUGGUGAUUUUGUAUGGAAGAUUGAAGGCUGUGAGAAUUUGGAGAAAGUGGAGGGUUGUUUGAUCUCAUUCAACAGCACGACAAUCUAACAGUACCAAUGGGAUGCCUUUCUUCAAAGAUCGCGGCCCGGUCAAGGAGCUUUCGAGAAGAGCUGAGCCAUAGCUUGCAGAGGAGAAUCGAAGGCUUUCCCGCCUUAGAAGAUAUACUAAUCUCCAAGAACAGCGGAGAUCAAUUCCUCGCUCUUGUUUGCACUGCUAACACCGUAGCCAAGAAACUCCAAAAUGGAAAUCCCUCGACAGAGUUCAGCAUUGAAGUGGACCCGUCCGAGAAGCAUACGGAUAUCGAGAACAUCAACACCAAAGUACUGAUGUGUGACCUAGAAGAAGAAGAAGAAGAAGAACAACAACAACAACA